RNAcentral lists this ribosomal RNA (279 nucleotides) under uncultured bacterium. RNAcentral's name for it is "partial 16S ribosomal RNA". It matches the Rfam family "Bacterial small subunit ribosomal RNA", at positions 506 to 784 of the family's 1533-position model. The record is from RNAcentral.
UGCCAGCAGCCGCGGUAAUACAUAGGGGUCAAGCGUUGUCCGGAUUUACUGGGCUUAAAGAGUUCGUAGGUGGUUGAAAAAGUUGGUGGUGAAAUCCCAGAGCUUAACUCUGGAACUGCCAUCAAAACUUUUCAGCUAGAGUAUGAUAGAGGAAAGCAGAAUUUCUAGUGUAGAGGUGAAAUUCGUAGAUAUUAGAAAGAAUACCAAUUGCGAAGGCAGCUUUCUGGAUCAUUACUGACACUGAGGAACGAAAGCAUGGGUAGCGAAGAGGAUUCGAUA